This is a non-coding RNA of Podarcis lilfordi (Lilford's wall lizard), 171 nucleotides long. NCBI's taxonomy places the organism in Eukaryota, Metazoa, Chordata, Lepidosauria, Squamata, Lacertidae. The record is from the annotation of a GenBank genome assembly.
UGAAGUCAAAUGCAAUAGUACUACCUAGUAAUUGAAUUGUGUGUGCUCAUAAAUUAAUUGAAGGGCACUUUAAAAUGGUAAUGGUGUGUGUGUGUGUGUGUGUGUGUGUGUGUGUGUGUUUAAUGGCUAAUUGCCCUUUUAAGUAAGAAGGGGGAUUCUAACCAAGUUCAA